RNAcentral lists this non-coding RNA (26 nucleotides) under Rattus norvegicus (Norway rat). The record is from RNAcentral. Lineage: Eukaryota; Metazoa; Chordata; Mammalia; Rodentia; Muridae.
UCCUGCUUGGCUUCGGUAAUCCCUCC